Molecule: long non-coding RNA, 6215 nt
Organism: Oncorhynchus nerka (sockeye salmon)
Lineage: Eukaryota; Metazoa; Chordata; Actinopteri; Salmoniformes; Salmonidae
Exons: 4
Source: RefSeq, a predicted model, not a curated record
AUUUACAUGAAGAUUGGCAAGAACACAAACUACAGGUCACACAUAAUAGUGAAAGAAAUGUUGAAGAUGCUGGCUCAAGUUGUGGAGGAGCCGAUCCUACAUGUCAUUCAGACAUCUGUAGCCAUUGGCCUGGAGGCUGAUGAAACUACAGCUGUGGCAACUAAUAAGCAGCUGGAUUUACAUGUCAGGUUUAUAUUUCAAUAAGAGUUACAACAUUAUUUUGAAUAGUGAUAUUCUACAGUCACACUGCAUCCAUGAGUAAUAAUGAAAUGGUUUAUGGAUUUGUGUAUGUUUUCUAGAUACAUGGACCAGGAGGGACACCUUUAAAACUAGUUCCUGGACCUGGUGUCAGUCUCUGAUGGCCAGGCAGACACCAUUGUUGCCACCAUCAAGGAGGUGCUGCAGAUCAAAAAGAUACCAACAGAGAGAUUGUACGACCUGGGCACUGAUGGGGCUGUGGUGAUGACUGGUAUGGACACAACACUAAGUCUUAUGUAAUACCCUUGGUAGAACCAAGUAUUGAGUUUAUUUUUUAUAAUUAAUUGGUCAUUUACAAGUGAAUAGGUUUCUUUACUUUUAAGUUUUGACCAAUAAGGUCGCUUGUUAGGCUGUGGCCAAUGGGAGAUUUGCCCUGGUUAACGGAAGGCCUGGGAAAAAAGAGAAAGACGUUGAGAAAAAGGAUGGACAUUACAUUAGGACCGUUGGUGAAGAAAAAUUAGAAAAGAUGACAAUAAAAAUAGAACAAAACCCAUACCUACCCAGUUUAGAAGGGAAAUACCGAUUUUAUUUUAUAAGAGUUAUCGUUUUGUUAAGACAGACUUAGUAAAGACUGAAGCUACUAUUUACACUAUACUAUGUCUUGUGAUACAAAUCAUUUUUCUCAUCUUCAAACAGGACAACAUAGUGGUGUGUCAAAACAGCUAAAGGAUGCCUUCCCGUGGAUGGUGUCUGUGGCUUGUCCUGCCCACCAUCUUGCUCUGGCCUGAUUUGCUGACGUCCCCUAUAUGAGAUUAUGUAUCACAUUCCUUCGCUUGGCUACUCUGGUCUCAUCUUGUUUACGUACUGCAUCUACACUCAAAAUAAAUGUAUUUUGCAGGAAGUAAAGGAUGUUCGCUGGCUGUCCCAGAACCUGGCCGUGGCUGAUCUCAGCGAAACCUCAGCGCAGUGUUUGUGGCAUUGGCUGAGGAGGUGGAGGUGAACCGGUGCCCAACUGCAAAGGGCCUCUACGCCAGUGAUGCAAACUAGUCACCUUUGGGCAAAAUUCUCAGUUUUUAAUGCAAAAUAGGUAAACUACGUGAUUCGUGUAGAUUCGAUGAGAAUUUUAGUUUUGUUUUUGCGUUUGGGUCACUAAUGGCUGUAAGCGAACCAGUGAUGUAUGUUUGGCGCAAUAAGGUCUGUAUCCAAGACUCGAUCCUGGGCUCAGUCAGUCGUUCACAUAACAGAAUGCAGCAUGCAACUGAAGAGAGAAGAGACAACCAACUUGCUAGCUGCAGCAUCAGCGUGUGCUCUGGAAAGACAGCGGAGAGUGGAAAGGCAGUUUGCGAGUUACAACACUAGUGCGUCCCCUGAACGACAACGAAGAGGUAGGUGACAAGCCUGGAGAUGGAGAUGAGAAGGUGAUGAAGCAUACUUCAUGAGCUGUAACCGAAAAAUAACUGGCAUUUGGAAAGUUUGAGGUGAGGAAGCAAGUGUGGUGGAACAAGAAUUGUUAGCAUUGUUAAGUAUCUUUUUACAGUAGCUGGAUCGAAUUCUCCGUUAGCUAGCCAGAGAAAUGUUGAGCAACAUUAGCUGAUCAAAUAAUGGAGUUUAUGGUGUGAAAAUUUGCUGAAUUAACAUUUUAACAUUAGAUGAGGUAACGUUAGCAGCGUUAGUUCGAGGAACCAAUUAGCUAUAGUAUUAACUGGUAUACGUCUCCUUGCCGUUCCUCAAGCUAUAACGUUAGUUUCUCACUGGACCCUGGCAAUCUGUGUGAAAUGUUAACUAGUUAGUAGUUAGUUCAUUAGCUAGCUAUCUAUGAACAAAUGUUUUCCUUCUAUGUGGUUAAUUUUCAGAAUGAGAGAAUUAGGUGAACAUUAGGCAUUGCUUGUUAAACAAGUGGAUUCAGGGAUCAAGUGUAGCUGGAGCUGGGCCUAGCUUAAGGAUGCCAAUAGAGGUGAAAAGGAACACCACACACUUUCGUUCUUUUUCAAUAAGGUGGAUAAAAAGUGGUAUGCCAGAUGCACUCUGCCUGAAAGAUCAAUUAUGCCAACAAAGGGUCUCAUGCUCUGCUGCUAGCACAUUGUAGUACAGGCAGAAAGUGUGCAAUGUAAUAACACGCAGUGUAGCCCAAAGAUAUUGCUUUUAUGUUGAACUUGACAUCAUACUGUAACACUUUUGUGUGAGUGAGGGGGGAUUACUUUAUCUUUUACUCAGUGAACGUUAUUUUUGCACACAUGUAGCCUUGUGCCCUUAAUCAAUGUCUACUAUAGUGGCCACAAUAAUAGAGCAAAAAUAGAAUGCCUGUUUAUUUUCUUCUAUUUCUACUUUAAGAUGUUUUUUCCCCAAGUGCAAUAUUUACAUGUAUGUGGUCACAAGCGUUCUAUUAUAAAGGCUGUCAUGGCUAACUGCAAUAUUAGUGUAUUGUUUUUUUUCUCUGGACUUGCGUGUCUUUCGCAGUAAAGUCUAGGCAACAAAUAACAUUGGAUUGCUUUCCUUAAUUUUUUGCUAUGAGUUUGGUUCACAUUAACCACUUUUUAUUUUAUAUACAGACACGGCUCAUGUAGAUCAUAUUCUUUGUUGUUUAAUUAGUACAGUUAAAACCUGAAUUUCAAGAUGGGAUCCAGCCUAAAAGCCACUAGAAAUUAGCGUUUUAAAGCAUAUUCUCACGCUCUGACCUUAGAGAUAAUUUAUUCUCUAUUUUGGGGUUAGGUCGGGGUGUGACUAGGGUGGGCAUUCUAGUUUUGUUAUUUCUAUGUUGGCCUGGUAUGGUUCCCAAUCAGAGGCAGCUGUCUAUCGUUGUCUCUGAUUGGGGAUCCUAUUUAGGCAGCUUUUUCCCACCUGUUUGUUGAGGGAUCUUGUUUUUGUGUAGUGCCUGUGAACACUGCAUUGACGGCACGUUUAGUUUGUUCUGUAUUGUUUUGCUCAGUUUCACUUAUUAAACAUGUGGAACUCUACGCACGCUGCGCCUUGGUCCGUUAAUUCUACAGACGAUCGUGACACACACAUAUAUAUAUUUAAUUAUUUGCGUGUUUCAGUGUCCCAAAAAUGUGUCACCUUUAGGGCCCUCACCAGUUUGCAUCCCUGCUCUACACUUUCUGUGCCACGUACAGGUAGGCCUAGAUGUAUUGUAGAUUAUAGUGGACUCCAAAUUAAAUAAUGUACUAUGUUGCUAUUACUGCUUUCAGUGUCUCAACUCUAUUUGAGUGGUCCACGAUGUGGCUUUUAAAACCUGUUUUGUAUUGUCAAUUGAUGUAUCAUUGUUGAGUGACAAACAUUUCUAACUCUACAGAUUUGUGGCAGCACUUUACCUGCUGGCGGAUGUGCUGCCUCACCUGACGUGGCUUUCAAAUUAUAUUCCAAUUAGAGGAUGUAAACUUCCUGGCCAUAAAAGAGCAGGUCCCUGUGACAAUGGCAUCACUCCUUGCCAUAAAACAUUCUGGUGAUUCCCAGCCCCCGGGGUCAUUUCUGAGCUAACUCCACCAGGACCUCGAUGUCCCAAUGGGUCUGGGCGCAUUCAACAUCAAGGAGGAGGAGAGGGAGAGGCCAGGUGGAGACCAAGACCAGGAAGCAGUUCUGAGCUGGGUUUAGAGAGGAGGUCAUGGAUCCAUAUAUUGUUGGCCUCCAGGACAGCCUAGACCAGAGGUUCCAACACCGGGAGAUUCUGGGGGCCUCCAGGACAGCCUAGACCAGAGAUCCCAACACCGGGAGAUUCUGGGGGCCUCCAGGACAGCCUAGACCAGAGGUUCCAACACCUGGAGAUUCUGGGGGCCUCCAGGAUAGCCUAGACCAGAGGUUCCAACACCUGGAGAUUCUGGGGGCCUCCAGGAUAGCCUAGACCAGAGGUUCCAACACCUGGAGAUUCUGGGGGCCUCCAGGACAGCCUAGACCAGAGGUUCCAACACCUGGAGAUUCUGGGGGCCUUCAGUGUGUUGGGAACUCAGUCUUCGUUCUCCAGUGAGAGGAUAAACACCGUUAACCUGAUCCUCCUCACCAGGCAGUUUGUUGCAAGCGCCAGAGGCUGCUGUGCUCCAAGAGUGGCCCUCUUACAAGCAACAUGUGCUAGUUGGAGCAUUCACAGUAUCGAAUGAGUGUGACAAUCUUUUGAAGAGAACAUUUUAGGCCAGUUUUGCCCAACCCUUUUUCCUGUUGAACUACCACUCUGCUGGCUCUUCUUUAAUGCUGUACAUCUUUUUGUUUUUCAUGUAUUUCAGGGGUUGAAUCAGCUGACGGCAAUGACAAAGCUGGCCUCGCAAUUUGAGUGGGGGCAGCUCUACCCCUGCCUUAGCCAGUUGGCAGAAAUUGCACUGACUAUACCAGUGUCUUCCGUUAAUUGUAAGAGGGACUUCUCUGCAAUGAAACGAGUCAAAACAGACUUGAGGAACAGACUGCAGGGAGAGCAUCUAGCCGCCUGCAUGCGGCUCUCCAUCAAAGAAACACAACCCAACCAAGCCGCACGGCUUCUUAACACAGCUCGCAUCCAACCCGGAAGCCAGCGGCACCAAUGUGUCGGAGGAAACACCGUGCACCUGGCGACCUGGUUAGCGUGCACUGCGCCCGGCCCGCCACAGGAGUCGCAAACCCUCCCUAACCCGGACUACGCUAGGCCAAUUGUGCGUCGCCCCAUGGACCUCCCGGUCGCGGCCGGCUGCGACAGAGACUGGGCUCGAACCCAGAGUCUCUGGUGGCACAGCUAGCACUGCGAUGCAGUGCCCUAGACCACUGCGCCAUGCUAACACAUUUUCCAGAGGAAACACUACCACAGUUGCAACACUUUCAGUGUUGUUUUAACACGGUGUUCAUUUUGCUAUGAUUUUUAACACUGGAGAAUUUGCGGUGUAGAUUUAAACCAUGAAACAACAUCUAACAUCAUUAAUGGGUUAACCUGUCACAUCACAGUAAAUCAAAACAACAGUUUGAGUGUCCCCAACCAUUACAAAAUAGACUGGGACAAUGAGUGCCCAAUGGCACAGACAGUCCUUAAUUGAAGCGAGACAGUCAAUUACCCCAAACCAGCAGCCAUAGCAGCAGCCAUAAUUGAUCUCCUUUGAUCUAGACAUUUUCAGAAUUUGUCUCGGUGGCAUGUCUACGAUCCAAUAACUGUGAGUGUAUGUGUGUCUCAGUGAGCGAUCUCUGCUUCCAUACUCAGGUGAAUGUGUGCUGACUGAGCAGGCUGGGUAACGCUUGCCUGCACUCUGUUGCUGCAUUCUCUUGAACCUUCGGGGCAUGUCUACAAGCACAGCAUAAUAGGAUCUGAACUCUACUGGGUUAUGGAGCUAGCUGAGGCUGGAGAGAGAAAGACUACUUCUCACUGCCCUGACCUAAAAACCACCUCUCCUUCUUGGAGACCUUACUGAACACCAUAAGGGAGGGAUGGAGGAGGAGGAGGGAGCGACAGAGAGAGUGCGAGUACAAGACAGAAGGGGAUAAAGGUAGAGAGAAAGAGACAGAAACAGGGAGAUAGAAAGGUCAAAGCAGGUAUCAUUGACCCGGUGCUGCUGGUGAUGAGUAUUACCUGCUGGAAUGGGUUGGGGAGGGUCUGGCUGCAGUACAGGUAGUAAUGCACUAUAUCUGUAGAGAACAGGGAGACACCAACAAGUCAGAAAGACUCAGCAAUAACAUUGAUCUCUUUAAGUAUAAUGUGAUUACAGCCCGGGGUGGGUAUAAACACCUUGUAAUUACAGGUUCAUUAAAGUGACAUCAAAAGCAUAGCUUGUCUUUAACUCACCAGAACUGAUCAGGUCUUUGGUCUGGUUCAUGAUGAACUUGUCUGGGAUCACACAGAAGUCACUGGUGCCCUGAACACAAGAAGAAAGGACAUUUUUAAAAACCACAAAACUAGUGUCAAAGUAGUCUAUCAAACACACCCCCCCUCCUGUGUUUAAUAGGAAUACGUACAGGUCUCUCGGGGUUCAACUAAUGAGCCUCUAUAUACCACAGAUGAAAAGCUGCCUAUUUUGCCUCUUCUCGAAAUCCAACUGUUUGUGAGUAUAUUGUUCCAUAAAGCCUAUAGAGAGAGA